RNAcentral lists this unclassified non-coding RNA (182 nucleotides) under Diversispora spurca. Its description in RNAcentral is "partial internal transcribed spacer region". The stretch from base 1 to 46 matches the Rfam family "Eukaryotic small subunit ribosomal RNA", at positions 1786 to 1831 of the family's 1831-position model. Lineage: Eukaryota; Fungi; Glomeromycota; Glomeromycetes; Diversisporales; Diversisporaceae. RNAcentral also lists the same sequence under 1 other name. The record is from RNAcentral.
AAGUCGUAACAAGGUUUCCGUAGGUGAACCUGCGGAAGGAUCAUUAAAAAAUAUUUAUCCGAGAAUUCGUUUCGUUUUCUCGGAUUAAUUUGUAUUCAAAUCCCACUCUUUAUUAAUAUAUCAAUUAUAUAUAAAACAAAAUAAAAAAAAGAAAACUUUCAACAACGGAUCUCUUGGCUCUC